This 501-nucleotide long non-coding RNA is filed under the name Junco hyemalis (dark-eyed junco). RNAcentral describes it as "lncRNA (ENSJHYG00000004378.1)". Lineage: Eukaryota; Metazoa; Chordata; Aves; Passeriformes; Passerellidae. The record is from RNAcentral.
GGUGAACAGAAUUACCCUCAGGGUUGAGGGAAUUAUAAACAACGCAGCUCCUGGUAAUUUUCUCCCCUCUGGAUAGAGCCAAGUGGAAAUUGCUGCUAGUGGAUAUGCUACAGCUGCUUGUGACAUUCUGAGAAGGUGGAUAUUUGCAAAUAAUACAGUUCACUUGACCCUCGCUGCCUGGCAAUGAAAGAAAAACAAUCUGAAGUACUUUCUUGGGGUUUUGGGCUGCCAUACGCUUCAGCAAGGAGCUGCACCCAAAGGAGGAGCAAUGCACCAGACCAAGCAUGCCUGGCUGUCCACAGUGGGUUGGCAGUAAACAGCAUAUUAUACUUACCACAGCUUACCUAUUAUGCAGAUUUCAAGGCAGGAAACUGCCUGCAAAACAGGAAUAGCAGCAUGUUUAGGCAGAAGUCACAAAUAAGGAGUGUGUGCAUGAGUUUGUUCAUUUCUAAAGAAGAUAAACCGUCUGGAGCUCCACUAUUGUCCCAAACACAGAUUUGA